AACUAUAAUACAGUUGCAUAGAGGUUUUGAUAUAAGUUGGGUGGUCGUUUAAUUUUGCGGUGAUUCUUCAUAAUUUUUAUCAUCUAGGUUGAUAUAGUUAUCGAUAUGAAAGUGUUUGAUGUAAGAUUAUAUUUAAAACCCAACACACCAUGGGUUGGAGAUUGCACGCCUGGCUGUGAUUGUCAAGACAUCGACCUAGAAAGUACUUGCAUGAAGUAAUGCUGCAUAAAAAACACAACUAAUUUUAAUUUUACCUAUUGUUAUUAGAGAAGUAUGUUCAAUAUUCCACAAUACAUAAGUAACAAGAUUAUGUAUAUGAACAUAAAAUUUAAGACUGUAAAAUAGGAAAUGCUAUUUUACAGUAGAAGCUACCAGUCUAGAUUAAAUGAACUUAGAAAUAACUACAGAGAUCGGGGGCUAUUAUUCCCUUGAUUUAAAAGAUUUGACAUUUAAGGACUAGCGGAAAUAUUCCCAGACGGCGUCUGAGAGUUGACUCUUGUGAAUUUAAAGGAAUAUAGACAAUUUAAGAAAAAAGAUCACCCGAUUGACUGGUAUAUAAAAAAAAAUUGCCCAUUAGCAGGUUUUGAAUACAAAAAGA
This is a long non-coding RNA of Achroia grisella, 598 nucleotides long. RefSeq lists it as uncharacterized. The transcript is spliced from 3 exons. NCBI's taxonomy places the organism in Eukaryota, Metazoa, Arthropoda, Insecta, Lepidoptera, Pyralidae. The record is from RefSeq and is a predicted model, not a curated record.